CGAAAAAUACAUCUUUAACAAUUUUUCCACAAAUACAACCACAUUCAACUUCUUCCACUAACAGAUAGAAUGAUGAAGAAUCGAAUAUUCCUAGCUUGAAAGUGCAAUUCCAGCGCCGCGCAAGCCUCUAAACCGGAAGCCCUAAUUGCACCCCCAAACACUAUUCCCAGUAUCAGCAUUCAAAACCCCUGCUAACAACUGGAAAAAAAUGUAAACAUGGAGUUAUUACUAUUCAUCACCACGAACUACAAUCAUUGUCGGUGCAAAAAUAAAAGAAAUCAAUUUUUUUUUUCCAGAUCGGCGAAUUAAAGUGAGAGAAAUUACCGUCGAUGGAGCGCCUGGGUAUCGUGAUUUCUGAGCUCUGGUUGUGUAUGUAGCUGAAAUUCAUGAGCGGGCGGCG
RNAcentral lists this long non-coding RNA (400 nucleotides) under Salvia miltiorrhiza (redroot sage). Its description in RNAcentral is "long non-coding RNA (SMIL_LNC011957)". The record is from RNAcentral. Lineage: Eukaryota; Viridiplantae; Streptophyta; Magnoliopsida; Lamiales; Lamiaceae.